UCAAAUUGGGUUUUUUAUAUAAAGGAAAAUAAGAACAUGACAAACACCAAGUCCAACAGUAGCCAAACACAAAACAGCCAACGACCCAAAUAUGGGCCCAAAACCUAUCCAAAACUAAUAACAGAAAAGAAAAAUAAAGAAAUACUAAAUAGUGUGCACCACCGUUUCGUUGCCCAAUCAAAAAACUUCUAGAUGCUUAUCCUAACAACAAUCAAUCACUCUCCAUUUCCAGACGGUUCCAUUCUCAGAAAAAGCCUCUAUCUUCCCCAAAAGUACACAGAAUACAACUUUCCUCCCAAAAGACUUCCAAAACAGUUCGCCCUUCUUUAAUCUGGUUCCCUCGUCUUCUCCGCAACAAAAUGACUUCUUGCAAAGGACUGAACACUCCCCACUAGGUAAAACUCCUCACUCCUUUUCAAAGAUUCUAUUGCAAAAGUAUGGGCUAGUCCAUUAGUCGAUCUAGGAACAUGUUUGAAAGUGAUUGCCUGGAAACAUCCUUUUAGCUGAUGAAUAUUCUAAAUGUAAGCCCCUAUAUGUGAUUUAUCUUGAUAUUGGGAUUGAUAUUUUUGAAUAAUGGUUAAUUCUUCUCCAUUGACUGCUACCUCCGACCACCCGUUCUCUAAUCCCAAUCACACAGCUCGAUGACUAACGAUGGCUUCAGCAGCGAAAGUUGAGGGAACCCCCUCGUGAUUCUCUGACUUUAAAACCAGUACUUCCCUCUCAGCAUCUCUCGCAACAAUACAUGAGGCCGACCUAUCCCUCUGUCUGUUAUAAGCUCCGUCGAAAUUAAUUUUGAUGAUAGUUCCCAUGGGUUUCUUCCAUUCUACUGCCUCAGACUCAUUUAAUUCAGAAAUGUAACUGACAACCAACCUGGCUAUAGCUUUCUCAGGUACAAUCUUUCUUUCAUGGACUCUGGUAUUUCUAUCACGCCAAAUUACCCAAAGUGCACAACAAAGAAGACACCGUUGAGGAGUACAGCUCACCCCAAAAGCUCGAGUAAGCCAUUGAUCGAACGCCAGAUCCAAAUUAUUUGAGAAUAUGCAAAAGUAUAAACUCUGACCAAACCUCCACUGAAACAACACUCAUUCGAAAGAGGUGAUCAAUAUUUUCUUCUGCCCAUCCACAACGAGGACAACAAGCUGUAUUAAUCAAUUUUUUUGUAUUUCAUAUUAGCCAGAAUAGGUAGAUAGUUCCAAGAGCACCUCUAAAUUGUAAUUUUAAUUUCCCCAGUCAGGUUAAGGCCCCAUAGCUUUUUUUAGAAAUCACUAGUUUCGAAUUGUAAAACAAAAGCAUUAGGUUCCAUAGGAUUCCCCGGCUUCCCCACCCCACGCAAGCAUAUCCUCUUGGGCCUUAGUCGCCAAUGGGGUAUAAAGAAUUCUUUGGGCGUCCACCGACAAGAAGGUAUUAAGUAUCUGUCCCCUUUUCCAUGUUCUUUGAUUUGCAUCAAUUAAAUCUGACACCUUCAAAUUAUGCAUACUAUGAAUAUCGAAAAGUAACCUAUAAUUAACACUCCCUGGUAUUCAGGCAUCAUCGGUAAUAGAUAUCUUCUCCCCCCAAACCCACCCUCCAACAGUUUCCCAUAUUUAAAACACCUCUCGUAACCCAUAAACUUUUCCAAGUGUAAGGUCUAGCAACCCAUUUUCAGUGAAUCCAUUUUUAGUGAAAUAAAAAAUGGUUUUUGGACCACAAAUCUAAAAAUAUUUAUUUUAUUAUUAUUUUAAUGUCUACAGAAUAUUAGUACGGUCGAAAUUUUAUCGUUUGCAUGUUUAAUUUGGUAAAAAGGACUAAAUAGUAAAAAAUGCAAAACUUGAGUUUUAUAAGUAAAGGUACCAAAUGAUUAUGAAAUUAAAUGAUUAAGGGAUUUAAAUGGUAAUUAGACCAUUUUUAUAUUGACUUUACAUUUAUGGAAUCUAAAUAGGUGUAAGGUUAAAUAAGUAAUUAAAUAAAUAUAUCAUAAUUAAAGAAAAAGGUUGUCUCAUCUUAAACCUUGGUUUGAUUCGCUGGAAGUGAAGAAGAAAAAAAACAUUUUAGGGCCUUGAAGCAUUUGGUUCAAUCUCUAUCUUGCAUGUAAGUGAUUUUUGUCUCUUUUUUAAUGAUUUUUAUGCUUUUUAAGUCAUUGUAGUUUAAUCUAGUUAGCUCAAGGAUUAAUUUGAAAAAAUUUUAAAAGGUUAGGGUUUCUCUAUGAAUGUAUACAUGUGGUUUUUGAUGUCUUAUGAAAGAAAAUGAAUCCUAGUUGAUUAAUAAAUAAUUUUUAUAAAGUGAUUUUUGUUGAAAAUGUCAAUUAGAAAUUUAUUUAUAAAAUGUGUAAAAUACAAGGUGAAAUUGUGAAAUAAUGAAUUGUAUGAGUUGCCAUGAGUGUAUAUGGAAUUUGGCUAGCUUUGUAUGAGGAUGAAAUUGCAUGAAUUGAAAUUUACGGGCUUAAGGACUAAAUUGUAAGGGAAUUAAAAUAAUAGGGGAAAAAGCAUAAGUUUGAAAAGUAUAAUUUUUGGAUUGAAUUGAGUAGAAUGAAUAUUGAAUGGAUUGAAUUUGAUUAUUUAAAUCAAGUUAAGCCUCGUAUGGACUUAGUCGAGGGAAAGAUAAAGUAUGGACUUAGUCGAGGGAAAGAUAAAGUGUCAGACUAAUCGGUUUUAUUUCAUCGUUUUUGUGAUUGAGGUAAGUUCAUAAGUUUAAAUAACUUUAAUGUAUUUGAUUUAAAUGCUAUUAUGUUAUUUACCAUAUUAUGUUUUGACGAAAAAUCCAACGAUGUUACGACGAAUAUCGGGCCUCGUUUGAACCUUAGGAAUAUAUAGGAUAUACAAAUGACAUGUCAUUAGGGUUAUUAUGUUUCAGGUGCUCAUUCUGAACGUCUUAUUAAUAGUUGAGUUUUGGCAUUUGUUGCAGAUACUCAUCAACUUGUGUUAACGGCAUCAUGUAGCUACAUUCCGAUCGUUAGCUUGUGUAAGCAGGCUCAUUUAUGGCUCAUAUGAGCGAUUAUGUAAAGGAAAAUGAAAGGAACGAUUUUGACCAUGUAUUAGCACAUUUUGUGUGAGCUUCCCGUGUAUCCAAUAUUAUUCUAAGUGGUUCAAUGGGCAUGUAAAGGGACGAACCGAUAAAGAUUCCGAAUGAUUUACACUAUUAAAUUAUAGAAAUGUAUGAAGUAUUGAUAAUCAAAGUAUGUAUAGCCAUUUUAUGAAAAGUAUGAAUUAAUAUGUAUUAUGAUUAUGAGAUUUAUCUUACCAUGUGAUGAAUUUGACUAAGUUAUGUGAUUAAGCAUUAAUUUGUAUUGUUGGUGAUGCUUAGGAUUGUGUCAAGCUUGUGUUGUAUUGAUUCAUGUCGAUGUUUAGGAUUAUGCAUUGAAAUGGUAAGUAUUGUUCAUGAUUUACGAACUUACUAAGUAUUAUAAGCUUACGUCGUUUUCAUUCUUAUGUUUUAUAGAUUAUCAGAAGACUGAUCAGUUUGGAAGUUCGUCGAAGACCUAUCAUACUAUCCAACAACUAUAUCGGUAGCUUUUGAUGUUUUGAGUCAUGGUUAUAAUGACAUGUAUAGGUGAAUUAUGUUUAAUGAGAUGGUCAUUAUAUUUGGCUUGUAAAUGUGGUAUUAUGGUUGAUAAACUUUUGGCCUUUUAAUACGUUGAUGGUUGUGUUGAAAUGGUCAAGUGAAUUUAUGUUUUGAAUGACCAAUUUGGUAUAUUGAGUUGUGGUUUGACAAAUGGUCAAUUGUGCUAUGUCUUGGUAUGAAAAUAGGUAGUUGUGUGUGGUUGAUUUAUGCCCAAAUAUGUUUAUGUUUUGGUUGAUUUGAUGAUUUGCGAUUGAGAUGCCUUUAGCAUGUUGGUUGUAUGGAUAAAUGGUGUAAUGAUUUAGUCAUUGUUGUACAUGUUUAAGGUAUGUUUUCAAGGUUUGAAUGUAUGUGUAAUUGGUUUAUAGGAUCAUGCUUGAUUAGGGUGAAGGAAAUGGCUUGAAAUUGGCCUAUUUCUUGUUCAAACGGCCAAAGACAUAGGCAUGUGUCUCAACCAUGUGUGACACAC
RNAcentral lists this long non-coding RNA (4003 nucleotides) under Gossypium barbadense (sea-island cotton). Its description in RNAcentral is "long non-coding RNA (GBAR_LNC001439)". The record is from RNAcentral. Lineage: Eukaryota; Viridiplantae; Streptophyta; Magnoliopsida; Malvales; Malvaceae.